CCUACGGGAGGCAGCAGUGGGGAAUAUUGGACAAUGGGCGCAAGCCUGAUCCAGCCAUGCCGCGUGUGUGAAGAAGGCCUUCGGGUUGUAAAGCACUUUUAUCCGGAAAGAAAAGCUUUGGGUUAAUACCCUGAAGUCAUGACGGUACCGGAAGAAUAAGCACCGGCUAACUUCGUGCCAGCAGCCGCGGUAAUACGAAGGGUGCAAGCGUUACUCGGAAUUACUGGGCGUAAAGCGUGCGUAGGUGGUUUGUUAAGUCUGAUGUGAAAGCCCUAGGCUCAACCUGGGAAUUGCAUUGGAUACUGGCAGGCUAGAGUGCGGUAGAGGAUAGUGGAAUUCCCGGUGUAGCAGUGAAAUGCGUAGAGAUCGGGAGGAACAUCUGUGGCGAAGGCGACUAUCUGGGCCAGCACUGACACUGAGGCACGAAAGCGUGGGGAGCAAACAGGAUUAGAUACCCUGGUAGUCCACGCCCUAAACGAUGCGAACUGGAUGUUGGGUGCAACUAGGCACUCAGUAUCGAGACUAACGACGUUAAGUUACGUCCGCCGUCGGGAGGUACGGUCGCGAGACGAGAAACGUACGAAAGAAGUAGUAGGACGGACGAGACGACGCGACGGACGGACGACGACGGGAGGGAGGAG
This 641-nucleotide ribosomal RNA is filed under the name uncultured bacterium. RNAcentral describes it as "bacterial SSU rRNA". The stretch from base 1 to 547 matches the Rfam family "Bacterial small subunit ribosomal RNA", at positions 338 to 873 of the family's 1533-position model. The record is from RNAcentral.